CCCUAGCUCGCCUUCCUCUUCUUUCUUCCUCUUUUUUUCUUCUUCCCUGACCCUGCUGCAGCGCUGCUGAGUCUCCUACUCUCCUGAGUAAACUUCACAGAUUCACAGAAGUGACAGAAAAAUUAUUAGAUUCAUCUAAAGAUCAAAGACAGUCUUGAAGAGAAAUACAAGAGCGGAUUGAUUUUCUGGGCUCGUGAAGAUCGGAGGAAUACAACAACGAAUUGAUUUUCUGGGUUCGUGAAGAGUGAAUUGAUUUUCUGUUCGAUUAAUAAUAUGAUGUCAAGUGUACAAGAGCAAGAGUUACCAGAACCAGACCAUUUCAAGGAUGUUAUGAGUGCUGAUGAUGAAGAUGAUGAUGUUGAGAUGUUAUGAAUGUAUGAUACUAUGAUAGUAUCUGUGUGACUGUGUCUGUGUUUCUUUAA
Molecule: long non-coding RNA, 422 nt
Organism: Papaver somniferum (opium poppy)
Lineage: Eukaryota; Viridiplantae; Streptophyta; Magnoliopsida; Ranunculales; Papaveraceae
Exons: 3
Source: RefSeq, a predicted model, not a curated record